RNAcentral lists this ribosomal RNA (322 nucleotides) under uncultured eukaryote. RNAcentral's name for it is "partial 18S ribosomal RNA". It matches the Rfam family "Eukaryotic small subunit ribosomal RNA", at positions 1470 to 1796 of the family's 1831-position model. The record is from RNAcentral.
CCCUUAGAUGUUCUGGGCCGCACGCGUGCUACACUGACCGGCGCAACAAGUUUCUUUCCUUGGCUCGAUAGGCCUGGGUAAUCUUUGAACGCCGGUCGUGAUGGGGAUAGAUCCUCGCAAUUUUUGAUCUUCAACGAGGAAUUCCUAGUAAAUGCGAGUCAUCAUCUCGCGUUGAUUACGUCCCUGCCCUUUGUACACACCGCCCGUCGCACCUACCGAUUGAAUGGUCCGGUGAAAUCUCGGGACGGCGGCUUGGUCGCUUGCGUCCGACUGCUGAAACUUGAUUAAACCAUAUCAUUUAGAGGAAGGUGAANUCGUAACA